GAUGAACGCUGGCGGCGUGCCUAAUACAUGCAAGUCGAGCGAACAGACGAGGAGCUUGCUCCUCUGACGUUAGCGGCGGACGGGUGAGUAACACGUGGAUAACCUACCUAUAAGACUGGGAUAACUUCGGGAAACCGGAGCUAAUACCGGAUAACAUGUUGAACCGCAUGGUUCAACAGUGAAAGACGGUCUUGCUGUCACUUAUAGAUGGAUCCGCGCCGCAUUAGCUAGUUGGUAAGGUAACGGCUUACCAAGGCAACGAUGCGUAGCCGACCUGAGAGGGUGAUCGGCCAAACUGGAACUGAGGCACGGUCUAGACUCCUACGGGAGGCAACAGUAGGGAAUCUUCCGCAAAGGGCGGAAGCCUGACGGAGCAACGCCGCGUGAGUGAAGAAGGUCUUCGGAUCGUUAAACUCUGUUAUUAGGGAAAAACAAAUGUGUAAGUAACUAUUCACGUCUUGACGGUACCUAAUCAGAAAACCACGGGUAACUUCGUG
Molecule: ribosomal RNA, 497 nt
Filed under: uncultured bacterium
Lineage: Bacteria
Description: partial 16S ribosomal RNA
Rfam family: Bacterial small subunit ribosomal RNA
Source: RNAcentral